UGCCGGAUGGACGAAUGGCAAGUCGCCUGACUCUGAAUCAGGAAGUUGUAGGUUCAAAUCCUACUCCGGCAU
RNAcentral lists this transfer RNA (72 nucleotides) under Hormoscilla sp. SP12CHS1. RNAcentral's name for it is "tRNA-Gln". It matches the Rfam family "tRNA". From Rfam's summary of the family: Transfer RNA (tRNA) molecules are approximately 80 nucleotides in length. Their secondary structure includes four short double-helical elements and three loops (D, anti-codon, and T loops). Lineage: Bacteria; Bacillati; Cyanobacteriota; Cyanophyceae; Gomontiellales; Gomontiellaceae. The record is from RNAcentral. RNAcentral also lists the same sequence under 1 other name.